RNAcentral lists this ribosomal RNA (253 nucleotides) under uncultured bacterium. RNAcentral describes it as "partial 16S ribosomal RNA". It matches the Rfam family "Bacterial small subunit ribosomal RNA", at positions 524 to 776 of the family's 1533-position model. The record is from RNAcentral.
UACGGGGGGGGCAAGCGUUAAUCGGAAUUACUGGGCGUAAAGCGUGCGCAGGCGGCGCGUUAAGACAGGUGUGAAAGCCCCGAGCUUAACUUGGGAAUUGCGCUUGUGACUGGCGUGCUGGAGUGUGGCAGAGGGAGGUGGAAUUCCACGUGUAGCAGUGAAAUGCGUAGAGAUGUGGAGGAACACCGAUGGCGAAGGCAGCCUCCUGGGCCAGCACUGACGCCCAUGCACGAAAGCGUGGGGAGCAAACAGG